ACCCGGACGAUCUGCCGCUACAACAACAACAACAAAAGGUCUCCGUUUGAACGUCGACUUAGUUGCGAUCGCAAUAGCAAUAUAAAAUCACAGUGAUUUAAAAAUAGCAAUCACUGAAAUCACAGUGAUUUAAAAAUCGCAAUAUCGCUCAUCUCUAGUACCAAACGAGGUUAGUUCAACAAUGAUACGACAUCUUAUUUCGCGCGAUGAGUCUGUGAAACACUUGCUUGAUGACAAGGUCAUUGACUAUAUUCAAAUGCAUGGACUAUUUAAUUUUAAAACGUAAGUUACACUCAUUUAUAAAAUAUUUUAUACAUGUCUAUUUACUUGAGUACUCAAGGUGAGUGUCGGAAGUUUUAUUUUCAUAGAAAAAUAUAAAGAGGCCAUCGAGAAAAUGCUGCAGGAAAAGAAGAUCUCAAGCAAAAUCAAUUAUGAUAUUUUGCGUACGUUGACGGAAGGUAGUGUAACUGCUGUCCGCACGACAGCCACAGAGGUUGCGAUAAGGCUUUAGAUGUGAAAAAUGUGCCAAUCAUUGAAACGGGACCCAUUAAGCACAAGAAUAGUCGCGCCAAACAAGCUUACAAAAUUGGUGGAGCGGCAGACAAAAUGCCUAAAUUAGAGAUGGGUCUGCCCGUGGCAGAAGAAGCGGCAACACCAACGAAGCAGUAGCCGGUGGUUAUCGAGAAUGAUGACCUGGAUGAGUGCGUCGAUGAUGCAGAUGCGGACGGCGAUGCUGAGGUAGAGCCUGAACCGGAACGUGAAUAUUCCUCGCUGUAGGAUAUGCUGAACGAUGGUGAAGAAGAUGAUUACUACGGCUACGACGACUAUUGACCGCCAUUUGGAAAUAUUUGCUUCCUAAUAGAGGUCUAUGGAGUUCCAUAUGCUAUUACACGAGCGAAUCAUACUUUAUUGUAGUAUGCCAGCUAACUUACUUAUACAAGUAUACUAGCAAUAUUUAUAUACAUUUAGCUAUUACAGCUUAGAUAUUUUUCUUUAAUAUGAUCACGUGACGAAAACAAUUAUCUAUGGAUCUCUCAUAUAAUCUGCAUUUGACUUACUUUAAAGCGCAACAUCAGCGACAAACUACUACUACUAUUUAAUUACAAACGAAAAAAUAUACAAUGUUUCUCAUAAUAAAAUAGUCACAGGUUACACGUUGUGCUUUGCAGUUUGUA
This is a long non-coding RNA of Bactrocera dorsalis (oriental fruit fly), 1175 nucleotides long. RefSeq lists it as uncharacterized. Lineage: Eukaryota; Metazoa; Arthropoda; Insecta; Diptera; Tephritidae. The transcript is spliced from 3 exons. The record is from RefSeq and is a predicted model, not a curated record.